GAUGACGCUGACAGAUGCUUACACAUGCAAGUCAACUUGAAUUUGGGUUUUUACCUUAGAUUGGGUGCGGACGGGUGAGUAACGCGUAAAGAACUUGCCUCACAGCUAGGGACAACAUUUAGAAAUGAAUGCUAAUACCUGAUAUUAUGAUUUUAAGGCAUCUUAGAAUUAUGAAAGCUAUAAGCACUGUGAGAGAGCUUUGCGUCCCAUUAGCUAGUUGGAGAGGUAACAGCUCACCAAGGCGAUGAUGGGUAGCCGGCCUGAGAGGGUGAACGGCCACAAGGGGACUGAGACACGGCCCUUACUCCUACGGGAGGCAGCAGUGGGGAAUAUUGGACAAUGGACCGAGAGUCUGAUCCAGCAAUUCUGUGUGCACGAUGAAGUUUUUCGGAAUGUAAAGUGCUUUCAGUUGGGAAGAAAGAAAUGACGGUACCAACAGAAGAAGUGACGGCUAAAUACGUGCCAGCAGCCGCGGUAAUACGUAUGUCACGAGCGUUAUCCGGAUUUAUUGGGCGUAAAGCGCGUCUAGGUGGUUAUGUAAGUCUGAUGUGAAAAUGCAGGGCUCAACUCUGUAUUGCGUUUGGAAACUGUGUAACUAGAGUACUGGAGAGGUAAGCGGAACUACAAGUGUAGAGGUGAAAUUCGUAGAUAUUUGUAGGAAUGCCGAUGGGAAGCCAGCUUACUGGACAGAUACUGACGCUAAAGCGCGAAAGCGUGGGUAGCAAACAGG
Molecule: ribosomal RNA, 730 nt
Filed under: uncultured Fusobacterium sp.
Lineage: Bacteria; Fusobacteriati; Fusobacteriota; Fusobacteriia; Fusobacteriales; Fusobacteriaceae
Description: bacterial SSU rRNA
Rfam family: Bacterial small subunit ribosomal RNA
Source: RNAcentral